UUAAACUCUUGCCUACUUCUUUCCCAUCUAAAUAAACUUCACUCGUACAUUGCUUAUAGGGGUAGCUCUCAUCUUGCUCUGAAAUAUGGAUGGUCUGAUACUCAUGACCUUGAUUCUCCGCAUCCCUUUGAGUCCAAUGUUUGGCAUGAUAUCGCCGUGGGGCUAGAAUUCUUCCGUUCCAUAACUAAGGUGGAUAUUAGUAAUGGUACAACAACCGCUUUCUGGCUAGAUCUAUGGUUUAAUGGCUCCACUGAAAACCUUGCAACAAUUUUCCCUGCACUUUUUUCUCAUACUCUCGGACCCGCGUCCACUGUCGCACGGGUGCUAGGCUAUCCUGCUUUGAACCAUGACUUGGCUCCUCGCCUUACUCAUGCCGCCGAACUCGAAUUGGGAAACCUUCGCGCUAUGCUUGCAUCUGUUUCCUUGAAUUUGCAGGUGAUGGAUAAACGAACAAUGACGUUUUGA
RNAcentral lists this ribosomal RNA (465 nucleotides) under Triticum aestivum (bread wheat). RNAcentral's name for it is "partial small subunit ribosomal RNA". The record is from RNAcentral. Lineage: Eukaryota; Viridiplantae; Streptophyta; Magnoliopsida; Poales; Poaceae.